UGUGCAGGCAAACUGGUGGAGAUGUGAA
RNAcentral lists this non-coding RNA (28 nucleotides) under Macaca fascicularis (crab-eating macaque). RNAcentral also lists the same sequence under 1 other name. Lineage: Eukaryota; Metazoa; Chordata; Mammalia; Primates; Cercopithecidae. The record is from RNAcentral.